GGAGGGGAGGAGAUCGGAGGCUGGGCUGCUCUCCACCCAGGGAGGUGAGGGCGGGGAGGGGAGGGGAUCGGAGGCUGGGCUGCUUUCAGCACCCAGGGAGGUGAGGGAGGGGAGGGGAGGGGACUGGAGGCUGGGCUGCUCUCAGCAUCCCCUGCAUCAUGUUUUCACUGCGCAGCUUCGGGAUCUGGUCCCUCCCAAGGCCUCCUGCAGGCAGAUGAAGAGCAGAACCAUGUUUUGGAGCCAAAUAGAAAAUUAUUUUUGGCGACUCAGGGCAGAAGUUUACCUCUAGUGCCCUGUAGACCUCAUCUGCUGGCGGCCAAGGUCCUCCUUCUGAAGUCUAAAUAAAAGUAGCUGAAGCGGGUCCAGCCUCUGCAGCUGGGGCGCUGACAGCGAGGGAAUGUGGGUGGAGAUGUUUGGGAAGAGGGCUAGGGGCUGUGGCUCCAGGCGAGGCCUGUUGAAGUGUUAAUGGGCCCAUCUCCAAGUGAGAGAAUUAGCCCCACGGGGCAGCCACAUGUAAAAAGCUUGGGAAUUGAGGAAGUGCUGCCCUGGCAGAGGCAGGAUAAGAGAGUUCCGGAUGCUGAGCUGAGUGGGGAGAAGCACAUUCUGGACUUUGUCUGGCGCGGGCAGCAGGGAGCCCUGCCACUGCACUCAGAUGCUGGCUCUCACCGCUCCCCUCGAGGCCUUGGUGAUGCUGACGCAGCUGGGCCACAGGGCAAGGGGCUGGUCUGGCCAGACCUGCUGCUGCCCAGGGGACACACCAGGGGACCACAACACACACAGCUUGGCUAGAGGGACCACCGUCCAGCCCCUCAUCUCACAGAGCAGACGGACAGCAGCUGUGGCACGCCAAGCCCCUACAAUGCCACCGGCACCAGCUGGUCUCUGGAGCUAGAACGCCCAGGUAGAUGGGCUCUGUGGCCUUGGGCAAGUUCCUUUGUCUCUCUGGGUCUCUUUGCUCAUCUGCAAAAUGGAAAGAGGCUAGAAAUUGGGAGAGAAGCAGGGGUGGGGAGACAGGGGAGAGGAGGGUUGGGAAGGAGUAUUGUGCAGGAGAGCUGGGG
This 1058-nucleotide long non-coding RNA is filed under the name Callithrix jacchus (white-tufted-ear marmoset). RNAcentral's name for it is "lncRNA (ENSCJAG00000084882.1)". Lineage: Eukaryota; Metazoa; Chordata; Mammalia; Primates; Cebidae. The record is from RNAcentral.